RNAcentral lists this transfer RNA (82 nucleotides) under Cautires sp. UPOL 000246. Its description in RNAcentral is "partial tRNA-Leu". The record is from RNAcentral. Lineage: Eukaryota; Metazoa; Arthropoda; Insecta; Coleoptera; Lycidae.
UUAUUUUGGCAGAUUAGUGUAUUUGAUUUAGAAUCAUUUUAAGUAAAUUUUUUAUUACAGGUAAUAAUUGAAAAUAUUGGAU